RNAcentral lists this ribosomal RNA (538 nucleotides) under uncultured Escherichia sp. Its description in RNAcentral is "bacterial SSU rRNA". It matches the Rfam family "Bacterial small subunit ribosomal RNA", at positions 71 to 608 of the family's 1533-position model. The record is from RNAcentral. Lineage: Bacteria; Pseudomonadati; Pseudomonadota; Gammaproteobacteria; Enterobacterales; Enterobacteriaceae.
GCUUGGCUUCUUUGCUGACGAGUGGCGGACGGGUGAGUAAUGUCUGGGAAACUGCCUGAUGGAGGGGGAUAACUACUGGAAACGGUAGCUAAUACCGCAUAACGUCGCAAGACCAAAGAGGGGGACCUUCGGGCCUCUUGCCAUCGGAUGUGCCCAGAUGGGAUUAGCUAGUAGGUGGGGUAACGGCUCACCUAGGCGACGAUCCCUAGCUGGUCUGAGAGGAUGACCAGCCACACUGGAACUGAGACACGGUCCAGACUCCUACGGGAGGCAGCAGUGGGGAAUAUUGCACAAUGGGCGCAAGCCUGAUGCAGCCAUGCCGCGUGUAUGAAGAAGGCCUUCGGGUUGUAAAGUACUUUCAGCGGGGAGGAAGGGAGUAAAGUUAAUACCUUUGCUCAUUGACGUUACCCGCAGAAGAAGCACCGGCUAACUCCGUGCCAGCAGCCGCGGUAAUACGGAGGGUGCAAGCGUUAAUCGGAAUUACUGGGCGUAAAGCGCACGCAGGCGGUUUGUUAAGUCAGAUGUGAAAUCCCCCGGG